CAGCAGCCGCGGUAAUACGGGGGGGGCAAGUGUUAUUCGGAAUGACUGGGCGUAAAGGGCACGUAGGCGGUGAAAAGGGUGGAAAGUGAAAGUCGCCAAAACACUGGCGGGGUGCUUUCUUGACCAUUUCACUUGAGUGAGAUAGGGGAGAGUGGAAUUUCGUGUGGAGGGAUCAAAUCCUAAGAUAUACGAAGGAACGCCAACCGCGAAGGCAGCUCUCUGGGUCCCCACUGACGCUGGGGUGCGAAAGCAUGGGGAGCAAACAGGAUCAGAUACCCGCGUAGUCCCUGUCUCUUAUACA
RNAcentral lists this ribosomal RNA (301 nucleotides) under uncultured bacterium. RNAcentral describes it as "partial 16S ribosomal RNA". It matches the Rfam family "Bacterial small subunit ribosomal RNA", at positions 509 to 808 of the family's 1533-position model. The record is from RNAcentral.